This 478-nucleotide ribosomal RNA is filed under the name uncultured bacterium. RNAcentral's name for it is "partial 16S ribosomal RNA". It matches the Rfam family "Bacterial small subunit ribosomal RNA", at positions 28 to 507 of the family's 1533-position model. The record is from RNAcentral.
GAUUAACGCUGGCGGCGUGCAUAACACAUGCAAGUCGAACGAUGAAACUCAUUAGUUUUCUUCGGAAUGAAAAUGACUGGCUCAGGAGCGAACGGGGGAGUACCGCGUGAGUAACCUGCCUUACACAAGGGGAUAGCCUCCGGAAACGGAGAAUAAUACCCUAUGAAACCAGACAAUAGCAAGAUACGCUGGUCAAGAGGUUUAGUGGUGUAAGAUGGACUUGCGUCUGAUUAGCUAGUUGGUGAGAUAACAGCUCACCAAGGCAACGAGCCGUAGCCGGAUUGAGAGAGUGGACGGGCACAUUGGGACUGGGACACGGCGCAGACCCCUACGGGUGGCAGCAGUGGUGAAUGUUGCACAAUGCGUGAAACCCUGAGGCAGCGACGCCGCGUGAUUGAGAAGGCCUUCGGGUUGUAAAGAGCUUUUGUAUAGGCACAAAAUGACGGUACUAAAUGAAUAAGGCCCGGCUAAUUACGUG